CGUAGGGUGCAAGCGUUAAUCGGAAUUACUGGGCGUAAAGCGUGCGCAGGCGGUUUUGUAAGUCUGUCGUGAAAUCCCCGGGCUCAACCUGGGAAUUGCGAUGGAGACUGCAAGGCUAGAAUCUGGCAGAGGGGGGGUAGAAUUCCACGUGUAGCAGUGAAAUGCGUAGAGAUGUGGAGGAACACCGAUGGCGAAGGCAGCCCCCUGGGUCAAGAUUGACGCUCAUGCACGAAAGCGUGGGGAGCAAACAGGAUUAGAUACCCUGGUAGUCCACGCCCUAAACGAUGUCUACUAGUUGUCGGGUUUUAAUUAACUUGGUAACGCAGCUAACGCGUGAAGUAGACCGCCUGGGGAGUACGGUCGCAAGAUUA
Molecule: ribosomal RNA, 371 nt
Filed under: uncultured organism
Description: bacterial SSU rRNA
Rfam family: Bacterial small subunit ribosomal RNA
Source: RNAcentral